GGGCCUAUAGCUCAGCUGGGAGAGCGCUUGGUUCGCAUUCAAGAGGUCAGGGGUUCGAAUCCCCUUAGGUCCACCA
Molecule: transfer RNA, 76 nt
Filed under: Pelotomaculum propionicicum
Lineage: Bacteria; Bacillati; Bacillota; Clostridia; Eubacteriales; Desulfotomaculaceae
Also listed under: 9 other names
Description: tRNA-Ala
Rfam family: tRNA
About the family: Transfer RNA (tRNA) molecules are approximately 80 nucleotides in length.
Source: RNAcentral